Molecule: long non-coding RNA, 232 nt
Organism: Alosa sapidissima (American shad)
Lineage: Eukaryota; Metazoa; Chordata; Actinopteri; Clupeiformes; Clupeidae
Exons: 2
Source: RefSeq, a predicted model, not a curated record
UGCCAGGUAAGCUCAAGCUGUGGUGUUUGCAGUUUGGUUUGUUGCCUCGGCUAAUGUGGCCAUUGACAGUUUAUGAAGUUCCUCUGUCAAAGGUAGAGAGUUUUGAAAAAAUGAUCAACUCCUUUGUCAGAAAAUGGCUCGGAGUCCCACGCUGCUUAAGCAGUGAGGCUGUAAGAUGUACUAAGGCAGUGUCGCAGGCAAAACAAGGGCAGUGGGUGAACUGGGAAGGGGU